CGCUUCUCAGUAUUCUGGCUAAGAUCAAGUGUA
This 33-nucleotide small nuclear RNA is filed under the name Cervus elaphus hippelaphus. The record is from RNAcentral. Lineage: Eukaryota; Metazoa; Chordata; Mammalia; Artiodactyla; Cervidae.